RNAcentral lists this ribosomal RNA (459 nucleotides) under uncultured bacterium. RNAcentral describes it as "partial 16S ribosomal RNA". It matches the Rfam family "Bacterial small subunit ribosomal RNA", at positions 338 to 795 of the family's 1533-position model. The record is from RNAcentral.
CCUACGGGAGGCAGCAGUGGGGAAUAUUGGUCAAUGGGCGGAAGCCUGAACCAGCCAAGUAGCGUGCGGGAUGAAGGCCCUACGGGUCGUAAACCGCUUUUGCACGGGGAUAAGACCCUCCACUUGUGGAGGUCUGCAGGUACCGUGCGAAUAAGGGCCGGCUAAUUCCGUGCCAGCAGCCGCGGUAAUACGGAAGGCCCGAGCGUUAUCCGGAUUCAUUGGGCUUAGAGGGAGCGUAGGCGGGGGUGCAAGUCAGCUGUAAAAUCGCGUGGCUCAACCGCGCCCCGCAGUUGAAACUGGACGCCUUGAGUGCACAACAGGCAGGUGGAAUUCGUGGUGUAGCGGUGAAAUGCAUAGAUAUCACGAGGAACCCCGAUGGCGAAGGCAGCCCGCCGGGGUGCGACUGACGCUGAGGCUCGAAGGUGCGGGUAGCAAACAGGAUUAGAUACCCGUGUAGUC